GCUUUAUCUUACAUUUUAGAAAAUGAAGAGCUUAGGUAGAUGAGUCCCUGAAGUUUAUACCUACGCGGAGGGGUUUUAAAAGGAACGGGAACGUAUCGAAGAUGAGAUAGAUCGAUAUUUUACAGAAAGAAUACAAUUUGAUAACGACUUUGACGCAAUUCAAUGGUGGAAGCAACAUAAAGCUAACUUUCCAAGCAUAUCAAAACUUGCACUUAAAAUAUUAACUAUACCUGCAAGUAGUGCGGCGUCUGAACGUGUAUUUUCCUUGGCAGGCAAUUUAAUAACUGAUAAAAGAAAUCGACUUGCACCCAAAACCGUAGAUAAAAUAAUAUUCCUGAAUUCAAUAUUUAAGACUAACUAAUAUGGCAAUAAGACCUUAGAAACUUAAAAAACAAAAAUAUACAAUGAUAUUGAGAAGUAAUUUUGUGCAAUACCUCAAUCUUAAUAUAUAUUUAGAAGCUAUACUUAUAAUAUAUACUUGUAUCUUUGGAGUUGAA
Long non-coding RNA from Bactrocera neohumeralis, 497 nucleotides. RefSeq lists it as uncharacterized. NCBI's taxonomy places the organism in Eukaryota, Metazoa, Arthropoda, Insecta, Diptera, Tephritidae. The record is from RefSeq and is a predicted model, not a curated record. The transcript has 2 exons.